UACGAAGGGGGCUAGCGUUGUUCGGAAUUACUGGGCGUAAAGCGCACGUAGGCGGAUUGGUAAGUUGAGGGUGAAAUCCCGGGGCUCAACCCCGGAACUGCCUUCAAAACUACUAAUCUAGAGAUCAGUAGAGGCGAGCGGAAUACCGAGUGUAGAGGUGAAAUUCGUAGAUAUUCGGUGGAACACCAGUGGCGAAGGCGGCUCGCUGGACUGAUACUGACGCUGAGGUGCGAAAGCGUGGGGAGCAAACAGGAUUAGAUACCCGGGUAGUCC
This 273-nucleotide ribosomal RNA is filed under the name uncultured bacterium. Its description in RNAcentral is "partial 16S ribosomal RNA". It matches the Rfam family "Bacterial small subunit ribosomal RNA", at positions 524 to 796 of the family's 1533-position model. The record is from RNAcentral.